GAUGAACGCUGGCGGCGUGCCUAAUACAUGCAAGUCGAGCGAACAGACGAGGAGCUUGCUCCUCUGACGUUAGCGGCGGACGGGUGAGUAACACGUGGAUAACCUACCUAUAAGACUGGGAUAACUUCGGGAAACCGGAGCUAAUACCGGAUAAUAUAUUGAACCGCAUGGUUCAAUAGUGAAAGACGGUUUUGCUGUCACUUAUAGAUGGAUCCGCGCCGCAUUAGCUAGUUGGUAAGGUAACGGCUUACCAAGGCGACGAUGCGUAGCCGACCUGAGAGGGUGAUCGGCCACACUGGAACUGAGACACGGUCCAGACUCCUACAGGAGGCAGCAGUAGGGAAUCUUCCGCAAUGGGCGAAAGCCUGACGGAGCAACGCCGCGUGAGUGAUGAAGGUCUUCGGAUCGUAAAACGCUGUUAUUAGGGAAGAACAAAUGUGUAAGUAACUAUGCACGUCUUGACGGUACCUAAUCAGAAAGCCACGGCUAACUACGU
Molecule: ribosomal RNA, 496 nt
Filed under: uncultured bacterium
Lineage: Bacteria
Description: partial 16S ribosomal RNA
Rfam family: Bacterial small subunit ribosomal RNA
Source: RNAcentral